AGAGUUUGAUCCUGGCUCAGAAUCAACGCUGGCGGCGUGCCUAACACAUGCAAGUCGAACGAGAAAGUGGAGCAAUCCAUGAGUAAAGUGGCGCACGGGUGAGUAACACGUGACUAACCUACCCUUGAGUGGGGAAUAACUUCGGGAAACCGAGGCUAAUACCGCAUAACACCUACGGGUCAAAGGAGCAAUUCGCUUAAGGAGGGGGUCGCGGCAGAUUAGUUAGUUGGCGGGGUAAUGGCCCACCAAGACGGUGAUCUGUAUCCGGCCUGAGAGGGCGCACGGACACACUGGAACUGAAACACGGUCCAGACUCCUACGGGAGGCAGCAGUGGGGAAUUUUGCGCAAUGGGGGAAACCCUGACGCAGCAACGCCGCGUGGAGGAUGAAGUCCCUUGGGACGUAAACUCCUUUCGAUCGGGACGAUUAUGACGGUACCGGAAGAAGAAGCCCCGGCUAACUUCGUGCCAGCAGCCGCGGUAAUACGAGGGGGGCGAGCGUUGUUCGGAAUUAUUGGGCGUAAAGGGCGCGUAGGCGGUCGGAUAAGUCUUGUGUGAAAUCUCCGGGCUCAACUCGGAGUCUGCACGAGAAACUAUCUGGCUUGAGUGUGGGAGAGGUGAGUGGAAUUCCUGGUGUAGCGGUGAAAUGCGUAGAUAUCAGGAGGAACACCUGUGGCGAAAGCGGCUCACUGGACCACAACUGACGCUGAGGCGCGAAAGCUAGGGGAGCAAACAGGAUUAGAUACCCCCGUAGUCC
Molecule: ribosomal RNA, 756 nt
Filed under: uncultured bacterium
Lineage: Bacteria
Description: bacterial SSU rRNA
Rfam family: Bacterial small subunit ribosomal RNA
Source: RNAcentral